ACAGAUGGGAAUCUCUCUGAAUA
This 23-nucleotide non-coding RNA is filed under the name Cricetulus griseus (Chinese hamster). Lineage: Eukaryota; Metazoa; Chordata; Mammalia; Rodentia; Cricetidae. The record is from RNAcentral.